Molecule: ribosomal RNA, 408 nt
Filed under: uncultured bacterium
Lineage: Bacteria
Description: bacterial SSU rRNA
Rfam family: Bacterial small subunit ribosomal RNA
Source: RNAcentral
UAGCCUUGACAUUGAUAGAAUACACCAGAGAUGGAGUAGUGCCUUUCGGGGAACUUGAAAACAGGUGCUGCACGGCCGUCGUCAGCUCGUGUCGUGAGAUGUUGGGUUAAGUCCCGCAACGAGCGCAACCCUCGUCCUUAGUUGCCAGCAGGUUAAGCUGGGCACUCUAAGGAGACUGCCUUCGUAAGGAGGAGGAAGGUGAGGACGACGUCAAGUCAUCAUGGCCCUUAUGGCUAGGGCUACACACGUGCUACAAUGGGGCGUACAGAGUGUUGCGAUACCGCGAGGUGGAGCUAAUCACUUAAAGCGUCUCUCAGUUCGGAUAGCAGUCUGCAACUCGACUGCUUGAAGCUGGAAUCACUAGUAAUCGUAGAUCAGCAAUGCUACGGUGAAUACGUUCCCGGGUCU